This 292-nucleotide ribosomal RNA is filed under the name uncultured bacterium. Its description in RNAcentral is "partial 16S ribosomal RNA". It matches the Rfam family "Bacterial small subunit ribosomal RNA", at positions 56 to 339 of the family's 1533-position model. RNAcentral also lists the same sequence under 1 other name. The record is from RNAcentral.
UGCAAGUCGAGGGGAAACGACAUCGAAAGCUUGCUUUUGAUGGGCGUCGACCGGCGCACGGGUGAGUAACGCGUAUGCAACCUGCCCUUCACAGGGGGAUAACCGGGAGAAAUUCCGACUAAUACCGCAUACGUCCUCCGGGGGCAUCCCCGGGGGAUGAAAGAAUUAUCGGUGAAGGAUGGGCAUGCGUGAUAUUAGGUAGUUGGCGGGGCAACGGCCCACCAAGCCCACGAUAUCUAGGGGUUCUGAGAGGAAGGUCCCCACAUUGGUACUGAGACACGGACCAAACUCC